Molecule: ribosomal RNA, 783 nt
Filed under: Triticum aestivum (bread wheat)
Lineage: Eukaryota; Viridiplantae; Streptophyta; Magnoliopsida; Poales; Poaceae
Description: partial small subunit ribosomal RNA
Source: RNAcentral
AUGGACCAGCACCACCACGGCCAAGCUCCCGCACACGGCGGCGGCCGCAGCAGCGAGGGGGGCGAGCCGACCACGACACGGUCCCGGUGGGCGCCCAAGCCGGAGCAGAUCCUGAUCCUGGAGUCCAUCUUCAACAGCGGGAUGGUGAACCCGGCCAAGGAUGAGACGGCGCGCAUCCGCCUCCUCCUCGAGCGCUUCGGCGCUGUCCGUGACGCCAACGUGUUCUACUGGUUCCAGAACCGCCGCUCCCGCUCUCGCCGCCGUGCCCGCCAGCUCCAGCAGUCCUGCGGCGGCACCGGGGACGCGGACCAGUUCCCCUCCAACGCAGCUGCCGGCCAUGGCUACCACGGCAUCGGCACCUCUCCCUACAACACCAUGCAGUACGGACAGCUGGGCGGCGGUGUUUCGGCGGCCGCGGCCGCGGUCAACACGGCGCCCCGUUUCUUGUUAGACGACGCCGACGGCGGAGACGAUCUUUUCGCCAUCCCCCGGCAAAUGGGCCUCAUGGCACGCGGUGGCGAAAACCAGUAUGGUUACCCGGCUACCGACGCAUCGCAACUAAGCUACCAAGCAACUGUUCCAGGGACGACGAUGCCGGUGUUCAUCAAUGGCACGGUAUACGAGGUGCCAAGCACCGGCGCAUUGGACGUGGCAGGUACGUUCGGGCCUGACGUGAUUCUGGUGCACUCCUCCGGCGAGAUCCUCCCAGUGAACGAGCGCGGCGUCCUCAUGAAGAGCCUGCAAAUGGGUGAAUGUUAUUACCUGGUAUUCAGAUCGAUCUAA